CGUAGGUGGCAAGCGUUAUCCGGAUUUACUGGGCGUAAAGGGAGCGUAGGCGGAUAUUUAAGUGGGAUGUGAAAUACCCGAGCUUAACUUGGGAGCUGCAUUCCAAACUGGAUAUCUAGAGUGCAGGAGAGGAGAAUGGAAUUCCUAGUGUAGCGGUGAAAUGCGUAGAGAUUAGGAAGAACACCAGUGGCGAAGGCGAUUCUCUGGACUGUAACUGACGCUGAGGCUCGAAAGCGUGGGGAGCAAACAGGAUU
Molecule: ribosomal RNA, 254 nt
Filed under: uncultured bacterium
Lineage: Bacteria
Description: partial 16S ribosomal RNA
Rfam family: Bacterial small subunit ribosomal RNA
Source: RNAcentral